AUUGAACGCUGGCGGAACGCUUUACACAUGCAAGUCGAACGGCAGCACGGACUUCGGUCUGGUGGCGAGUGGCGAACGGGUGAGUAAUAUAUCGGAACGUGCCCAGUCGUGGGGGAUAACGUAGUGAAAAUUACGCUAAUACCGCAUACGAUCUAUGGAUGAAAGCGGGGGACCUUUUGGCCUCGCGCGAUUGGAGCGGCCGAUAUCAGAUUAGGUAGUUGGUGGGGUAAAGGCUCACCAAGCCAACGAUCUGUAGCUGGUCUGAGAGGACGACCAGCCACACUGGGACUGAGACACGGCCCAGACUCCUACGGGAGGCAGCAGUGGGGAAUUUUGGACAAUGGACGCAAGUCUGAUCCAGCCAUUCCGCGUGCAGGACGAAGGCCUUCGGGUUGUAAACUGCUUUUGUACAGAACGAAAAGGUUUCUACUAAUACUAGGAGCUCAUGACGGUACUGUAAGAAUAAGCACCGGCUAACUACGUGCCAGCAGCCGCCGUAA
This 500-nucleotide ribosomal RNA is filed under the name uncultured bacterium. Its description in RNAcentral is "partial 16S ribosomal RNA". It matches the Rfam family "Bacterial small subunit ribosomal RNA", at positions 30 to 523 of the family's 1533-position model. The record is from RNAcentral.